AACGAACGCUGGCGGCAGGCCUCAAACAUGCAAGUCUAGGGGGUGUAGCAAUACAUCACCGGCGGACGGGUGCGUAACACGUGGGAAUAUACCUUUUGGUUCGGAACAACGCAGGGAAACUUGCGCUAAUACCGAAUGUGCCCUUACGGGGAAAGAUUUAUCGCCAAAGGAUUAGCCCGCGUAGGAUUAGCUAGUUGGUGAGGUAAUGGCUCACCAAGGCUCCGAUCCUUAGCUGUUCUGAGAGGAAGAUCAGCCACACUGGGACUGAGACACGGCCCAGACUCCUACGGGAGGCAGCAGUUGGGAAUCUUGGACAAUGGGGGAAACCCUGAUCCAGCCAUGCCGCGUGAGUGAUGAAGGCCUU
This 364-nucleotide ribosomal RNA is filed under the name uncultured bacterium. Its description in RNAcentral is "bacterial SSU rRNA". It matches the Rfam family "Bacterial small subunit ribosomal RNA", at positions 29 to 418 of the family's 1533-position model. The record is from RNAcentral.